GCCGGGCUAGCUCAGUCGGUAGAGCGAAAGACUCUUAUCUCACAGAGGGCAAGAUCUUUAGGUCGUGGGUUCGGUUCGUGACUUUCACAUCUCUCGCA
Non-coding RNA from Neophaeococcomyces mojaviensis, 98 nucleotides. NCBI's taxonomy places the organism in Eukaryota, Fungi, Ascomycota, Eurotiomycetes, Chaetothyriales. The record is from the annotation of a GenBank genome assembly.